RNAcentral lists this long non-coding RNA (1705 nucleotides) under Gossypium barbadense (sea-island cotton). RNAcentral describes it as "long non-coding RNA (GBAR_LNC012743)". The record is from RNAcentral. Lineage: Eukaryota; Viridiplantae; Streptophyta; Magnoliopsida; Malvales; Malvaceae.
AGGACCCAAGGGAUCGAAUAAGGAACAUUAUGUAUGUGUUUGAAUGAAUUAUACUAUGGUUUAUGAAAUGUUUGGGAAUGAAUGUUUUUAAGUUAUGAUUUUGUGGUAAUGUCCAUAACCCUAUUUUGGCGACGGAUACGGGUUAGAGGUGUUACAAAAGCUCAGUGUAUAACUUAGCCCUCAUGCACAUAACAUAUAUCAAACAAUCAUACAGAUUCAAAAACUGAACAUUCACAGAUGGCGUAUCAUUUUUAUGCAAUGUAACAUACUAAACAAAUUAGAAACAUAUGGCAUGGCAUAUCAUGCGAUGCAAACAUAUGACACAGAAUAGAUACAAAUCCUACCGCCAUUCGCUAUACACCAUCUUCGUCCAUCCCAUACCAAUUAGGGUAAAAUACCCUUCCCACCCCACACAUUGAAUUAGUGAUCGUACAUUACCAUAUAGAAAUAUGCAAUCAAGCUUCUAGAUAUUUGUGAAAAAUGACCAGAAUCAUAUAUAUAUAGUGUUUAACUGCCAGAUAUAGAAAUUUGCAGUGUUAUCGCCAGAAAUUGCAGAAUAUAGUCUGCUAGAACUUCCUCCGUCACAUAUCAUAUCCCACCCCAAUGCAUAUGCAGAAACAUCAUACAUACUCAGACGCACACAGACUAGACAUGCUCUUAUAUACUCGACAGAUCAGAAUAUGCUAAUGAUGUAUAUAAUUUCACAGAUCAGAAUUAUGUACAACAUCAAAAUAGAAAAUAUCGUAUAGAGACAUGCUUACUCAUACAACAAUUAUACAGAUUUAACUUUACCCUUAUAUACACAGAGUGUUUGCAUUUAAUCAUCAUGCAGAACCUAAUGAUUUUAAUUGAUUUCAUAAAUGGCCACUUAACUGUUAUAAAGUUUUACAAACACACAUUCGGAUCACUUAACCAACGAAAUAGACCCACAUGGCCUACCUAGCCUAGCCCGUGUGGCUCACAUAUUCUGGCACAUGGCCAGACACACGAUCGUAUGGCGUCAGCAGUAUGGUUUUCGGCUUUUCAUCAUUCACUAGAGUUACAUACGUGACUAUUUCGCGAUGUCGACACAACAACAACAAUUCCAAAUCCUAUAACAACACCACCUCAAGUUGAUUAGCACAAAACAUCAGAACCGAAUCAAAAUUCGACCCCUACUCAAUUAGAGUAUUUAGCCACAAAAAUUAGGGCAUUUAUUCUAGACAUACCGAAUUAGUCCCUACUAAGGCAAACAAUCCCUUAUCCUUUGAAAGAAAGUCGACGAAAAUCAUAAAUCACCGGAUGAGAGUUAUGCACUUCUUGAUCCACACCUAGUUAGAAACACAAGAUAAUUAAACUCUACACGAGUGCAUACUAACGACCAACCCAAACACAACCUUCCAUUUACAUAAUACCCGAAUGAAACACUCACCCCUAAAGGUAACAUAGAAAGCACUUACUCAAAGAUGCAACCACAAUGCUAAACACUUUCGAGUGCUCAAGACUAACACCUAAAAACUAGAGGUGGCAGUGACUCAAAGGAUUUCACAGUUAAAUAACGACAACCAAAAAUAGAAGAUGGUGACCAAACAAGGAAAAUGGUAGAAACGAAAAUUAUAACCGUGCAAAAGGGCAAUUGAGAAAGAAGAAAAGAAAACAAGGCAAAAACAACGGAGUGAAAAAAGAGAAUAGAAGAACCUGAGGAUAAAAUAGAAAAGAAUCUAAG